Molecule: ribosomal RNA, 253 nt
Filed under: uncultured bacterium
Lineage: Bacteria
Description: partial 16S ribosomal RNA
Rfam family: Bacterial small subunit ribosomal RNA
Source: RNAcentral
UACGUAGGGGGCAAGCGUUGUCCGGAAUCAUUGGGCAUAAAGCGCGUGUAGGCGGCUCGAUAAGUCUGCUGUGAAAGUUCAGGGCUCAACCCUGAAAUGCCGGUGGAAACUGUCGGGCUAGAGUCCGGAAGAGGCGAGUGGAAUUCCUGGUGUAGCGGUGAAAUGCGCAGAUAUCAGGAGGAACACCAAUGGCGAAGGCAGCUCGCUGGGACGGUACUGACGCUGAGACGCGAAAGCGUGGGGAGCAAACAGG